GAACAUUUUCAGGAGAGAAGACCAAGGGUGUGGGCAAGCAACCAGUUGAUAAGGAGAUCAGUAGGGAUAGAAGGAAGCCAGAGGCUGUUCAUUAGGACAAUGGAAGAAUGACUCUGAAGGCAUUUUGGAAAUUACUGGUGCUGUCCCUCCCAUCACAGGCACAGGGUGCCAUGACCUCGGAGAAGGAAAUACAGUCAUGCCCCACAUAUAGACCUUUUCACCAAGGAAGGAGCACAUAUACAAAGAGGCUUCCAAGACUCUGAAAUACCAGGAUUUCCACAAACUCAUCUUGCCCUGACUGGGAAUCUUUCGGAGAUUGGAUUUCAGAGUAUUCCCCAACCUGAUCGGAUAUCACCUCCUCAAUGGAAGCUUCCCUAAUACCCUCUGAUGUUUCUAGAAGCAGGACACAUGGCUUGUGUCAUAAGUCUUGACCUGAUUAUCAUAGAUUGCCUCACCAAGUUUAGCAUACCCUGUCUGAGAGUGAUGCUGGCAAAUUAGUGAAUAAGAGGACUGUGGAAUUUAUUUGAUUGCUAAUCUUGUGUCAGGACAUGGUUAUUUUUAAAAAAAGAAGUGUCCUCUUUUGAUCUUAACUGUUUGAUAUCUCAGCCCUUGAGUGAGGCAGUUAUAUGCAAAGGAGAUGAGAAGGAUGAGAAAAGUGAGUACUUUUCCUUUAUAAAAGCCACAUGAAUUGAACAAGACUUCAGAAUUCAGAAGAGCUACAUCAAGUUCUUGGGUCAUUUUUUUAACCCAUUCUCCAAGAUUUGAAAAAAUGACCUUGCAAAUAUGUGCAAGACUCUGGAAUCUUCCUCUGGCAGAUGAUGAAUGAGAUGAAUAUUUCCAGGUGCUUGCCUUCAGCACCAGCACAUGCACAUUCUAGUACUCUUGGCCUUGAUCCUACACUGAAUCUGAGGGUGCAAGGACUUUAGAUAGAGGCUCAGGACAGACUGGACCUGCAUGAACCUCUGAAUUGUAGCUAGCCUGGGCAGCCAGUUACUUGGAUCCCUCUGGGGCUUCUGGACAAACAACUCUUUUAUAGCCCAAGGUAGAUGGUCAGGGGCGACCAGAGAUAGCAAUAGAUUCAUUGACUUCAAGCUUAACAUGAGUUAGCAGUAUGGUGAGGCUUCCAACAAAAUGUAAGCACUCAAUAAAUG
RNAcentral lists this long non-coding RNA (1151 nucleotides) under Pan troglodytes (chimpanzee). RNAcentral's name for it is "long non-coding RNA NONPTRT002295". The record is from RNAcentral. Lineage: Eukaryota; Metazoa; Chordata; Mammalia; Primates; Hominidae.